AUGGCAGCCUUCCGCCUUGCGGCGGCCGGCGUGACCCCCGACCUGACGGGCCGCAGCGGCCGUCUUCGUGCACCGCCUCCACCGCACGAUCGCCGCAGACGUGGCAGCGGCCACGGUGCGCAGCCGGCGCCGGCGCCCGCGCCGGCCGCCCCUCCCACGCCGCCGGAGAUAGAGCUGCCGCCGGAGCAGGUCAUCCUCCGUGAGGACGGCGAUCCGGAUGACACCCCGGGGUACCACGUGGCCGUACGGGCGUCGGAGGCUGCGGCGGCGGCGGUGAAGGAAGCCCCCGAGAUUGCAGCCGCAAUCCAGGCGGCCGAGGCGAUGGCGGCGCAGCAGGCGGCGAUGGCGCCGCCGGAGUGGCAGCAGGAGUGGCAGCAGGCGCCGGCGGCGAAGGAGGAAGAGGAUUCGGACGACAUCCCGGUGGACUGGGACGACGUCGCGAACCGGUCCAGCAGCGACGAUGACGGCGGCAACGGCCCGGCCGUGAUUGACCUCAUUGAUAGCGACGCCGAGUAG
This 516-nucleotide ribosomal RNA is filed under the name Triticum aestivum (bread wheat). Its description in RNAcentral is "partial small subunit ribosomal RNA". The record is from RNAcentral. Lineage: Eukaryota; Viridiplantae; Streptophyta; Magnoliopsida; Poales; Poaceae.